Molecule: ribosomal RNA, 399 nt
Filed under: uncultured bacterium
Lineage: Bacteria
Description: bacterial SSU rRNA
Rfam family: Bacterial small subunit ribosomal RNA
Source: RNAcentral
CAGCCCUUGACAUCCUACGACCGCUGCAGAGAUGCAGUUUCCACUUCGGUGGCGUAGAGACAGGUGCUGCAUGGCUGUCGUCAGCUCGUGUCGUGAGAUGUUGGGUUAAGUCCCGCAACGAGCGCAACCCUCGCCCUUAGUUGCCAGCAUUCAGUUGGGCACUCUAAGGGGACUGCCGGUGAUAAGCCGAGAGGAAGGUGGGGAUGACGUCAAGUCCUCAUGGCCCUUACGGGCUGGGCUACACACGUGCUACAAUGGUGGUGACAGUGGGCAGCGAGGCCGCGAGGCCGAGCUAAUCUCCAAAAGCCAUCUCAGUUCGGAUUGCACUCUGCGACUCGAGUGCAUGAAGUUGGAAUCGCUAGUAAUCGCGGAUCAGCAUGCCGCGGUGAAUACGUUCCC